Molecule: long non-coding RNA, 329 nt
Filed under: Capsicum annuum
Lineage: Eukaryota; Viridiplantae; Streptophyta; Magnoliopsida; Solanales; Solanaceae
Description: long non-coding RNA (CANN_LNC003997)
Source: RNAcentral
UCUAAAACCUCCUUGUGGCGCCAUAAACUGCCCUGUAGAUCUGGCCCUCUUAGAAGAUCCGCUUUCAAAUUCCUGUGUUCUUUUUCUUUGCCUCUGAUCUUCCAUUUUCUGUGCAAAUGCUUGGAUCCUAGCUAUAUCCAUGUCUUUAUUCAGUGCAGCAAUAGUACAAUCCCUAACCAAAUACGGAUCCAAUCCAUCCACAUACCGAUGAACUCUGUCAUCCAUAGUAACUAUAACAUUAGGAGCAUAUCUGGACAAGGAAUUAAAUCGAAGACUAUACUCCCUCACACUUGUAUUACCCUGUCGAAGAUUUAAGAACUGAUCNNNNN